RNAcentral lists this ribosomal RNA (120 nucleotides) under uncultured bacterium. RNAcentral describes it as "partial 16S ribosomal RNA". It matches the Rfam family "Bacterial small subunit ribosomal RNA", at positions 796 to 912 of the family's 1533-position model. The record is from RNAcentral.
CUAGCCGUAAACGAUGGACACUAGGUGUUGGGAGCAUCGACCCUCCCAGUGCUGUUAUGCUAACGCGUUAAGUGUCCCGCCUGGGGAGUACGGCCGCAAGGUUGAAACUCAAAGGAAUUG